Molecule: long non-coding RNA, 381 nt
Organism: Ficedula albicollis (Collared flycatcher)
Lineage: Eukaryota; Metazoa; Chordata; Aves; Passeriformes; Muscicapidae
Exons: 3
Source: RefSeq, a predicted model, not a curated record
GAGAUGCAAAGGUAGGAGAGGGAGGAGAAGAAAGGAGGGAUAAAGAAGGAUCAAGAAAAGGAGAAGGAACCCUGAGGCCAAGCGCUCUCUGAAUUCAAUCCCCCAAGCUGUGGAAUCAUCGCCCCCCGCCCCAUCCUGCAGGAUUUCUGAUUCCCAACCCUUGGCCCAAUGGAGGAGGCGGAGGCUGUGAGGAAGAGGAAGAUGGCCCAAGACAGCCAGGCAGACAAGGAGCUGAGGACAGGCACCAGGGAGGGCAAAUCCCCACGGCAGAACCUUGUGGAAGAGGCCGUUUGCAGCGGCUCCACGGCGCAGGAAUCCCACCGGGAGGAAAAGCUGUGGAGAUCCCGCAGGAGGAGGGGCUGCAAACGAGGAUUGAGGGGA